This 247-nucleotide ribosomal RNA is filed under the name uncultured bacterium. RNAcentral's name for it is "partial 16S ribosomal RNA". It matches the Rfam family "Bacterial small subunit ribosomal RNA", at positions 523 to 769 of the family's 1533-position model. The record is from RNAcentral.
AUACGUAGGUGGCAAGCGUUGUCCGGAUUUAUUGGGUUUAAAGGGUGCGUAGGUUGUGUUGUAAGUCAGUGGUGAAAUCCGGCAGCUUAACUGUCGAUGUGCCAUUGAUACUGCAGCACUUGAGUACAGACGAGGUAGGCGGAAUUGACGGUGUAGCGGUGAAAUGCUUAGAUAUCGUCAAGAACACCGAUAGCGAAGGCAGCUUACUAGGCUGUAACUGACACUGAUGCACGAAAGUGUGGGGAUC